Melospiza melodia melodia is the source of this 10786-nucleotide RNA transcript. It is a transcript of the gene named TSC22 domain family member 2, with no coding region annotated. NCBI's taxonomy places the organism in Eukaryota, Metazoa, Chordata, Aves, Passeriformes, Passerellidae. The transcript has 13 exons. The record is from RefSeq and is a predicted model, not a curated record.
CGCGCGGGGCAGAGCCGCGGCGGGGCGGGAGAUCCGUGCGGCCGCCGCGAUGCCCGCACCGGAGGCCGGCAGCGGCCGGGAUCGGUCAUAAACACCUGUGUUUGAGCUGGUUCCAGAAUGAUGGGCAUGAGAACAGCUGCCAGGAGCAUGGAAAUCCUGUGCUGUGGGUAACUUCCAAGCCAGCGUUUUCAGGGAGCUGCCACAGGAGCUGCAUGUGGGGCCAUGGCGUUGCUGUUAGACACAGAUGUCAAAAGCUGAAGCGGUCUAACUUGAUGUGCCAAGCUGAGCCUGUUUCUCCUGCCUGUGCCCUGCACCCAGCAGCCGUGCUUGCCCGUGGUGCUGCACACACACAGCUGCUGCUGUGGCUCGUGGAACACCCCCCUCGUGUCGCAUGGGAUGGCUGCAGAAGCCCGUCUCUCUCCUGCAUCCUCUGAGACCAGAGUCUCGCUGCGUUUCUCCCUUCCCGAAAGCGAGAGCCUGCGGGCGUUGGCGGCGCCGCGGUCUGACAGGAGAGCGGGGAGCGGAGCCGUGCCGGGAUUAAGUCACUCUCACAAGGUCACGCGGUGAAUCGCUGCUGCUGCCAAGAAUAGCGCCCCGAGUCUCUUGGCUCUCUCAAGCCCACCCGCAGCACUCCAGCCUCCUUUCCUCGGGUUAUGAAGCUUUCUGCAGCAAGAUUUGAAGCAGCCAAAUUCCAGCUUAGAUCAAAGUCCCUAGGAUUCACUUGUGAUUUCCGGAUGGAGUAUGGCAAGAGCGUUGGUGGGAGCAGACAAUGCUUGUGCUGAUAGCAGAGGUUGAAGUGUUUCCUGUCAUGGAAAAGUUGAACAAGCCAGUUCCACAUCAGCUUUCUUUUCUGAGACUUCCAGCUGUAACUGAAGCCUCAGUUCCCGUGAUGAUGCUCCUGGGACAGAGCCCGAUGGCAUCUGCAGAGUGGGGCAUGGAGAACAAGGGACCCCGAGCCACAGAGAGGGACUGCAGCCCCUGUGCCCCUCUCCCCACAGAGAGACAGCAGAACAUCGUGGUGCCCUCAGAGCCAGCACAGCGCCGACAUCUCCAACAGGGGAUCAGCAAACGUAAAGGACAGGUACACUCCCUUCUGAGUGACAGCACUUCCCACAGCCUCGCUCUCCAGCCCCUGGAGCCUGCUGCAGCAGCCCUGGGAGCCUGGCCAUGGUGAGGGCUAUCCCUGCCUCUGUGCACAUGCCUCUGUGCACAUGUGUCUGCCUGAGCGCUGCCAUGUUUGGAGCUGUGUGGUGGCUGCUGUCAGAACCCAGGAAUGCAGCCUCAGGAACAGAACCCUGCACAGGCAAAUGUGGCAGAACCUGGGCAGUGUCUGCAGCAGCAGUUAGGAAUCCGGGACUGGGAGCUGACUGUACUUGCAUUCCCAGGAGGACAAAGCAGGGCCUCGAUUGCCAGGAAUAAUACCCAGAUUUGUGGUGCUGAGAAGGUGAAGCUGCAGCGUGAGCCCCCCUGGAAUCCUCGUUGUAGGAGAGAUGCACUGGGAGCAGCGUGGACAGGCAGGUGCCACUGCUGUCUUGGAAGGUUUCACAGCCCUGAGAUUUUGCUGCUCAUGACUUGAAGCAACCAGCAUCACCUCAGGCUAUAGGCAGAAAAAUUUCAUUGAACCACAGUGCCUCUCUGCUAGACAAACUGCAGAAAGAUAACUUGCUCCCAGAAUGCCAGGGUUGUCUGGCCACCUUCCAAACAAUCGCUGCAUUCCGUGCUUGAAUGCCUAUCAGUGAAUUUCCAGUACAAAAUGUGAAGAGAGACAACUAGAAAUCAACGUCUGGUGUUUCCUUUGCACCUCCCCAGAGGGGAGGGCUGUUGGCAUCAUAUAUUCAAUCCCUCAGCACCAGCAGAUACAGGUCAGUGACAAGACAGGUGAAAGAAUAAGGCCUGAGGUCAGUAGGUGCCCGGUGCAGCCACUGAAGCUGCCUGCUUCCAGGAGCUGAGGUUGCUGCUCUUGGGGAAACAAAACUCCUGCCUGAUGGUAAACAUCUUCAGUUGCCAUACAGAAGAACUUAAAAAGCCAACCAACAAUCACCUAGCCAAGUAGAAAAAUAUGUCAAAUCAAUUUAGGGUGGAAAAAUAUCAAAAAUCAAGAUGAGAUGGACAUGGCACGUCUCCUGCCUGGAAUUCCUGGGAAGGUCUGUUGGUGGCAUGCCUGGUCAUUAGUGCUGGUUGGACACAGGGCCAGGAGCGUGCUGUUCACCCAUCCCCAUCCUUCCUGUGGCUGGAGGAGAUGCAGGUGAAGCCUGGGUGGGGCAACUGCCAGCUGUUAGGAAAGAUCACUUACGGCCACAGGUCACUUCCCCAGCAAGGUGUACCUUGUUCCAGGAGUGUUAGAGCCCUCCCCAGUGGCGUGGGACCUCCAGGGGGUUGAGAAAACCCUUGGAGCAAAUAAGGUGAAUGGCACCAAACUUUCUGGGGAAUCCAUUUUGGUGAAUGUUGCCCAGCCAUAAUUCAGAGCCACUCUUUGCAGUGUGGGCAGGCAGAGCAGUGUUCAUGUCAGGAUGGUGCAGGUCCCUCUGCUGAAGCUGAAGCCCCUAACAUGGAGAAAGAGAGCCUCAGUUGCAGGGCUCAGCAGGCAGGGUCAGAUCCUGCCACAGUUUUGACUCACAACUAGAUGCACUCCGUGCUUUGCAAGUUGCAGAUCUUAAGCUUUUUGCAUUUCAGCUCUGCAAAUGCUCGUCAGUGGUUUAGCCACUUUUCAUCUGUUAAACUUCUUGGGUUUAUCCAUGCUCCAUCCAGAGUUCCCACCCAUUAAACUCUAUUUUUACUGCCUUUUCUCACUUUAAGGGGAGGAGGUCACUUCAGAGAGGCUGGUUCAGAGAACAGUGGUAGUAGCCAUGGAGUGCCCUAUCUAGUGAAGUCUCAAAUUAAAGAGAAGAAGGCUCUGAAAAGCACGAUAAAGUCUUUGAAAAUUAAGAUAAUACUAGUGCAGGCCCAAACCUGCUGCUAGUGUGAGAUUCAGAAGUGUUGCUGCUGAACAGCAGUUCCAUGCCAGGAACCUGCAGCAGCUGCUAUGGAUGCAGAUCCAUCCUUCAGCUGAUCCUACAGCAUGGGUUCUGGACUCCUCCAGUUGUUGGACUCCUUCACCUCUGCAUCACCAGGAUUUCUUCAGCACGGUCAUUAACAGCUCACACAUAGCUGCCACACCUUGCAGCACACGCCUCUGCAUUCCUCACUCUGCUCCAAGACAUGCUUUGUUCAUGGGCUCAGCUCUCAGAGCUCCCACUCGCCCUGUUAUUCACAUGGGAUCAGGUUAUUUGAAGUGCUGGCAAGUUGUGGUCAUGAUGGGUUUAGCCCCAGCCCUGUCCUUGAAAGAACAGAUCCUGUCACCUAACCAGUACUUUUGGGACGUAUUUUACAAUUUGUAUAAAGAAAAAAUGUACUGGAAAUACUUAUCUGUAGUGAGAAUCUUUGGACCUCAGUACACAUAGAAAUCCAGCAGUGUCCGUUGUUUGACGUGCUUUUGUCUGUUCUAUAAGCUGUGACCAGAGUUCAGCAGCUUUCUCCCAGCCUGUGCUCAGCUUUUAAAGCUUUUCCUGCCGUCUCUCACAUUUGCCAAGUCUCCAGUCCCCAGGGAUGCAGUGCCUGGGGGGAGCUCUGGUCGACAAGCCCCUCACCCUGGAGGGUGCCUGCACUCUGAACCUGGCACAGGCCAGAUGGAAAAUGGUCCCAUCUCCCCCUUUCUCAGGGAUGUUCUUACACAGCACAGCAAAUCAAAACCUCAGACCAGCACAACUCUUAUUGUUGCUUGUUCUGCAGUCUGGAGGGAAAAAAGGAGUCCCAGCUCCUAUUUUCCACAGUAGUGGUUGGCAGACCAGUGGCUGGUUUCUAGACUUGGCCAAGGGAAAGAUCUGAGUCCUUGCUUAAUAUUAAAAACCUUGGCUUAGGCUGAUUUCAUUUGCCAUUUUUUUUAUUCUACUUUCAAAUUUUAUUUCUUUAUUUUCAGUUUAAUCCUUUCUUUUUAAGGUUUACAUAGCAUCAUCUGCUUCUCUGAUAGCUCUGUCCUUUAGCUAGACUUAUGAGCUGCACUUUAAAAGUGGACACUGUGAUCAUCACAAAAAUCCCUCCUUCUGGUAUUUUUGCUAGCAUCAGUCCCCAGAACAUGGGCCUUAAUGAUGGGAACAUAUUCCCUACUGAUGUGCCAGACAAAAGUUCAUGGCUUUGUCUUGCUGAAAAUGAAGUCUUGAUUAUUCAUGCAGUUCCCAAUUAGUCAUUCCACACCCUUGAAUUAUUUCUGACAGAUGUGAAAUGCCUUGUGCUGAAUUCCUACUCCAAGGAACCUUCUGCAUGACUGGUUUAUCAGUGUAUGCAAGCAGACUCAUGAUUUACAGUGCUUCAUCAUCAUGGCAUGUGUAACACUGAACACGAUGACUAGGGAAACCAGACCCACCUAUUUUGGUCAUAGGUUCAGAGCCUCCCAAAUCUGCCAGCAGCUGCGCAAGGGGCGCUCACACAGGGCUGGUGUGGGCACGGGGAAAGCCAGCGUACACUGAGGAUCUCACGAACGGAUUGUCUGAGGGCCUAUGAACUCACUCUCAGGGGUGGUAUGGACACAAGUGCUAACCUGAAGGCCCGUUUCUGUCACUUGUCACUUUCUGGCUUUGUCUCUGCUGCCAGGAGUGCUCUUCCCGCCGGCUGUGUGCUGGGCUGAGCUGCGUGCCGGGCGUGGGUCCUGUCCCUGGGCGAGCCCUGGGGACGGAGCUGCCCAGCCGGGAGGGGAUGCCCAGCCUGUGCCCUGCCCUGCUGCUGGACAGCCCAGGCAGCCGUCCCUGCUGGCCCUGGAAGGGCUGACCUGCUCUCACUGCUGCGUUUCAGCAGCAUUCCUGAGCACGUGGCCAGGCCUGGCUCCAUAUGGCGUUAAAGGCAUUACCUAUGCAAUGGGAGAUUUUAGACUGGGAUUCCACAUUUUUCUCCUGCAGAAGUUUCUGUCACUGCAAAACAAAAUAAUAGCACCCAAAGCCAUGUUAAAUCAUUGUAGUGAUUCCAAAAUCCAUGGUUCCUCUGGCAAUUAAAAAAGCUCCAAGCUCACUCCAGGUCUUACAACUGUGAAUUUUGUAUUUGCAGUGGUGAAACUCCCCUCUUCUUGUUAUCCACAAUAACAAUAACAAUGUGUUAUUGUUCCAUAAUGAAUCAUUUUUGUGUCAUGUUUGACUUGGUUUGGGGAUUUAAAUUGCAUGCCUCACUGAAGGGAAUCUGUAAUUGAGAUACAAAUCUGAGCACCUGUGAAAGACUUCAAGUUUUGUGUACAUGCCUAAGUAUAAAUAUUUAAAUGUAUGUUUUACUACUUUAAAGGCAUCUACACAGGAUGUCAGUGGAGGUUGAUCUGUCAUCACUCUGUCUUGUCAGCAGAGCCACUGGAUUCUGACAGCUGAACAGAGGCCAUUAAUUAAAACUGCCAGGUUUUGUCAGGCCCUUGACAUGCUCCCUAGAUAAUUCAGUCUUAUGCAUUUCAAGCGUUUGCAGCAGGAACAAGACAAAAUCUUUCAAUUUCCCUGCUCCAUUCUAUGCCUCUCUUUUAUUCCUGCAGCAAUAGCCCUUUGCAUUUUGAAGCGAGGGUGUUGGUGUAACUUGGUUCUGCAUUGAGAAGUGCGAGGGUUUGUGAUGACUCCUCAGAGGGAAGCUCUGCAAAGGUUGUGGCAGUGACUCCCCACCCUCAGGAAGGUUACAGCGGAUAAUGCCACAAGUUUUGCAAGAAUAAAGAGCUUUUUCUUACUGUUCUAAGAAGGUUUUUUGCUAGAAUAAGCAAACAAGAAUUGGACCUGACUUCAGGUCCCUCUGCUCCCACAGCUAUCCUCACUGGAGCUGCAACUGCCCCUGGGGAGAUAUGGCUCUCAGCCAGUCAUCCUUAAAGGAGAAGUGUUAGUUUUGCAUGUAACUGUGACCUAUUUUUAAAUUUUUGCUAUAUAUACGAAUUUACUCUUUAUAACAGAUCCAUGGACCCUUUGGAGUGCAUAUGAUGGAGAGCCAGUGGUCAGCCCUUAGAGUCAUGGUUAGAAAACACCAUCUUUGUUUGUUUUACAUGUUUAUAAUUUUCUCUGGCUAUAUUAUCAUUUGUGAAUUUCCCCAGUAGCUUUCAAAGUAAUGUUGGUUUGUCUUGAUAGUAACACUGCUAAAAAGCGCUUAAGAUGUCAAAUACAAGAGCAGUUGUUUGCUUCUUCUGGCUACUACAACCUACCAGAUAUGUAAAUCAUGACCCAUAUUGCUACAGCUUCUGAAAUCAAAGUAAAGCCAAAUAAUGCAUAGCCCAGCAUAGACAUAUUCCCUAAUGACACAGAAGUGUGGUGCUCCAACCCCCCAUUUUAUGGGAGAAAAGGAGCAUGUAUGAUGAGAGGUCAGUGCCAACUUCUCACUUCCUCAGCAGUGACUGCAGUUUGUGUGGGACAGUCUGCUCCUUCCAGGCGUUGCUCAGAGGUGGAUCCUGUUCAGAAACCCCUUCUCUGCCCCCGUGGAACAGAGCGCCAUGGCACCUUCACAUGGAACCAUGCUCAACUGGAAUGCCACAGAUUUGCCUCUGGGGCCAACCUGAGCUGCAGCAGAGCAUGGAGAAGACAGUUUCAGAAGCUGAGAUGUGUCUGCGUACCCUUCACAGAAGCAGCACUUCAGAAACAGUUCAUGGUACAGAAGAGAUGGCAUAUUUCUUUUAACAAUGGGGUGUUUAAGGCCUGGUUCUGCGAAGUACACUGGAAGAAAACAGGCUCCAAAACCUGACCUCUGAAAAUGGUUUGAAUUUGCAAACCCGAUACACACUGAGAUCACUUCUUCAGCAUUAAUGAAGGACAAGUUGUGCCUUUUAAUCAUGUUUGUAAUGGAAAUGCUCAUUUAUAAAAUAAUAAUAACAAUACAAAAUGCAGGUCCUCAUAAACAACUGUUAUUUGUCUACCCCAAACGCUUUUAGUUGUGCUUAGCAAGCUCUCUGUUUCUGAUGAUUCUAUUUUUAGUGGAUUUCAGCCGAACUACUCAUAUAAGAUUUAAAACAAAAUUAACGGCAGAAAAGCAGAGAUUUACAUGAAGAGAAUUUAGGUUUAUAUUCAACACGUCAUUUUAGUGUCUGACAGCAGGACUAUUUCAGUAGCUGCAGUCACAGACGUUGAUAGUAGCUGUACAGUUGGAUGAGAAAAGCAAGAAUUAGCCACAGAAGUACUAUUUUUUGCUAUGUAUUUUGCAUACAGAUUCCAUGUGGAGACAGGGAAUCCAUCAAUCCACUAUCUGCUACAAACCCCACAUUUCUGCUUUUGUAGCAAAGUUAGAGCUAAUCCAGACUGUAAGUUUUCUGAAGCAUGUUUAUGCAGAAAAGGCCAGGGAACCAGUUUUGGCUGACUGCUGUCUCAUGUCAUACAUGAUGUGGCAGCAAUAGAGCUGUCAAAAAUUGCUCAGAACUUAAAUAUGUACAUGUUUCCCCACACCUUUAUUUAUCUAGCUCUGAUCUCUGCUUUUGAAUUCCUGCUUAGCAGGAAAAGGGGAAAGAGGGCAUUGCGCUUCUGGAAGUGAAAUGUGAGGGCUGCAGGUGCACAUUCCCCCUGGAACCUGAGCAUCCCACGGACCCAAGCAGUGGCUCCUUAGCACAGAUACCACCACUCCCAACAACCAGGACUCCCUGGGAGCUACAUUUAAAUAGGCCAUCGGAACAUCAUUAUUGUGGGGUUGCAAUGGCUUUAAUGUCUACUCUGUAGACAAGUAUUACAUAAGUCCUUUAGGAACUCAGUCCUGAAAAUGGAUUUAUGAGUACAGAUCAAAUUGUGCCACAUAGUACUUAUUUAAAAUAUCUGACAAGCUCUCUGAAGUUUGUCUAUGUUCCCUUUUUUUGCUUAGACAACAUAUUAAAAACAAAUGCCCUGCCAUUAUUCAUGCUUUUAACACUGAGAUGUAAUUGAUAAAGCUGGUGAAAAGUCUGAAGAAUGGUUUAUGUACAAAGCAAAGUGAUUACUUACUGUUCAAAGCUGAAGUUUUCAAGAAAAUGAGCAACCUAGAUUCUAGGAAAUCCAGCCAUGAAUUAUUGAAAAGUCUAUUAAAAUAAAACCAUGCCAAACAGAAAUAUUUCAGACACACCAAGUCUAUCAAAGAGAUGUGGAUUUUCUCCAAUAUUGAUAUCACAAUUUACUUAAUAUGAGUUUGAAAUAAAUGAGAGAGUAUGCUGCUGAACGCCACAUGAGCUCUCUGAAACCGUUCACAUUUCUGUCUUUACUAGGUUAAAUGAAACCUGAUCUGGAUUCCACUUGAUCAUAAGACUGGAAUGCUGAAAAUGCUGUAAUCUAUUUAUACAUCAAAUUGAAGAAACAUUGCAUGUCUUUAAAUUUCCCUGCAUUCCAGUGUAUUAGCUAAACAGCAACAGUUUACAAACUGUUUCACAUUCAAACUGAGACAAAGACAGACCAAUGCAACUUAUUUAUCCUAAAGCCAGGAUUGAUUUCCUGGCUUUAAAACUGUGGCCCAAACCCAGGUCUGCUCUGUGCCUUCCCUAAAAGCCUUGCAGCAGUAAUUCAUCAUUAGUGCCAAAACAUGGUGGUUGCCUUAUGAUGACUUCCAAAUCCACAGUUCAUUUUUAGCAUCAAGAACAAUCCCAAACUACAAUCCCAAACCAGAUUUGCAGCUCAGAUUUUGUCCAUACUUCUCUUCCCUCUGCCUCUGAACCACAAAUGGUUCAAAAUACAGCGGACAGCAAGGCUGAGAACAACUGUGGUAAAUAACAGCAGCCAAAUCCCACAGAUGAAAUCCAUACAGGGGCUUAUUCAGCCCAUGAGGUAUUGGCAGUAACCCAUCCACCAAGAGAACACCUCAGGCCCCCCAGUGGAACAGCAGUCUCCACAGAAUGCUGUCAUUUCCCUCAGUUAUUUACAGAAUAAUUUACAGAACAGCAGUGUUUGACCCAUCAUUCUGACUGGAGGAGCUGCUCCUAUUCAAGCACCACAGCUGUGUGCAGCACAAGAUCUUCAGAAAAAGUAAAGGUGCCCAUCAUGAAGAAGAGCCUAAUAUGCUAAAGGCCUGUCUGUUGAUCUGUGCAAAUGUGCAUUCUAGAUUUUAACAUCUCUCAGUAAAGAAAGACACACCUGCCACUGACAUUUGAUGGGUUUUGCCCCUGACUUGAAAGGGAUCAGGAUCAGGCUAAAAACUGAUGAUGGUAUUUCAUAACAUCUAUUCAUUUCUACUUGCCCUUUCAAUGUGUUUCAAUGUGUGAAACAGUGUCCAUCUUUCUCACUUGUCAUUCCUAUGUUUUUUUUUUUUCAUUGGUUGUUGGAUUUAGUGCUUAUUAUUUCCCAUGUAGAAGACUAUGAACACUACAAAGACAAAAAGAGCAAUUUGUUUUAGAGUCAGGGGAGAGGAAAAUUCUGUGCUCUUUGUCACAUGAAACUUUAGGAGCCUGAAGCUAAAUACUGCAGUACUAUUUGUGGUUCUCUGGAUAGUUAGUGGCCUUUAUAAAUGCAAAAAUCCCACUUAGACAUUCAAAUAACUGAUUUGCCAUUUUCUGUGCCCUUCUUCCCUCCAGCAGUCUGUAACCUGGUAUUUGUCUUCCAGGUCUUGUGUCUUACAGCUUGAAAUUCAAAAGAACUUGACAUUCAAUUUACAAUUGCAUCUCAGUUGGGAUUGAGACUAUUUGGGCUACUUUAGAGGAGUCUUAAAAACAAGAAUAAUUUGAGUCAAUGUCUUACUGUCUAGAACCACGAGUUUCAUAAAAAGGAAGAUGUACAGUUUACAGUAAGGAAUUUCUAUACUACUGUUUAUUUUAAAAUUUAUACUGGUAAUGCAGGAUUUGAAAUGGAUCAUCAGAAACAGAGUGCUCUCUUAGAAUAUCCAGUUUUUAGUAACUCCUAAAUUUCUUCUCAAAUUUGAAAAGACCCUAGGGAAAAAUAAACUGCUUGUCACUUGUUCAUUACUGUGCCAGUAUGUUACUAUUGCUAAGACAGUAUCACAUGGCCUGACUAAAAUUUAGGUCUCAGUACUCAACACACAAAAGAAUGGUAAGUGGAGCCCUCAACAGUUCUCUAUAUCUGCAGAUAAGGCAGAUGAGAGAGAAAAAAAUGAAGAUCAAAGAAUGAAAAAUAACUUGUACAAAGCCAUACUGCAGAUCAAUACCAACUGAGGGGUGAGACUGAAGCUAAAAAACAAUCCCCUAAACAUUUCCUACUGACUUCCCCUCAAACAGUCUCAGCCUGGACUCCUGACCCUUGACUAGAUGCCCUUUUUGUUAGAUCAAUGGCAUCCUCAGGCUAGAUUUUAGUCUCUAACUGUAAUCACCUAAUGUUAUUAAAGGCUGAGAUAACUGAACCCAUGCGCUCUGGAUACUAAUAAACUGACUCUUUUUAAUAUUCCUAUCUCUUUCUUUUGAAAAACAUUGUAAUUUUAAAGUUUAUAUCAGGGCUUUUCAAAAGCUUAAAUGUACACAUACACCUAUUAAUACACAUUAAUAUUAAUGUAUAAUAAUAUAUAAUACAUAUAUUGACAUACAUCUUUAUCCAGCCGUGCAUUCAUUUCUGGGUGUGAGCAUGUAUGGGGCAGUGUGCACUCCAUAAGCAUUCAGGGGUUUAGUGUGUGCUAGUGCCACACAGACUUCAGCCACCAUCAGUGGAAGCACCACCUUUUGACCAUUUAAAAUUCUAGAAACAAACAGAAGAUUGUAGUGCCAUUUUCACUGGGUAUCUACAACUAUCACACUCCAGAAUAGCUUCUUUUUUAGUCUUCUAUCACUUGUGGGGGCAUUUCUGGCCUCAGUCCAGAGGCUGUGUGAGAGAUACUUUCACAUGACUGGUGCAUGAUCUUUAAAUGGCAAAAUAUGUAAAAUCUC